RNAcentral lists this ribosomal RNA (247 nucleotides) under uncultured bacterium. RNAcentral's name for it is "partial 16S ribosomal RNA". It matches the Rfam family "Bacterial small subunit ribosomal RNA", at positions 84 to 334 of the family's 1533-position model. The record is from RNAcentral.
CCUGGCGGCGAGUGGCGAACGGGUGAGUAAUAUAUCGGAACGUACCCAAGAGUGGGGGAUAACGUAGCGAAAGUUACGCUAAUACCGCAUACGAUCCAAGGAUGAAAGUGGGGGCUCGCAAGACCUCAUGCUCCUGGAGCGGCCGAUAUCUGAUUAGCUAGUUGGUGAGGUAAAGGCUCACCAAGGCGACGAUCAGUAGCUGGUCUGAGAGGACGACCAGCCACACUGGGACUGAGACACGGCCCAG